Molecule: long non-coding RNA, 524 nt
Organism: Budorcas taxicolor (takin)
Lineage: Eukaryota; Metazoa; Chordata; Mammalia; Artiodactyla; Bovidae
Exons: 5
Source: RefSeq, a predicted model, not a curated record
CCAACCGGGUGCCACCGGCCUGUCAUUCUGAGAGCAGUUCCACAACCUGAACGCCCCUGGGCGCAGCGGAUGCCCGUGCAGGCUCCUCUGAUACACAGCCCUCUGGGGAGAGGGCCGGAUCAUCCUGCAGCCCACAGCUCUGGGGCCCCCAGAAAAACCUACCAGAAGAGGCUGGAGGCGAGAGGGUCUGAAGGCUGCUGGCUGACGUGAAAGGGCCCAAGUCUUCUCUACAUAGGAUCCCCCUCUCUCCUCGGUGACUCCUGAACCAGCCUCUGUGGAUUGCCUGAGGAGCCGAGACCCCGAUGUCUUCCGUGCCAGGCCAAAGGCUGGCCCUCAAGCUCUAAUCCUCAGCCUAGGUCCCUCACCUGAAUCCAGGUGGUUGCCAAGCAUGGCUCAGAUGCUCCGAGGGCUCACUUGCAGGCUGGGAAGAGUGGAAGUUCCCUGAGGUCAGACGCCCUGCCUAUGAGAUCACUGUGUAUCUGUGCCCAGGACUUGGCAUACAGCAAGGCUCAGUAAGCACCCAG